CGGGAAUAUUGCGCAAUGGAGGAAACUCUGACGCAGCGACGCCGCGUGAGCGAUGAAGGUCUUCGGAUCGUAAAGCUCUGUCCUCAGGGAAGAAGAAAGUGACGGUACCUGAGGAGGAAGCCCCGGCUAACUACGUGCCAGCAGCCGCGGUAAUACGUAGGGGGCAAGCGUUGUCCGGAAUUAUUGGGCGUAAAGGGUGCGUAGGCGGCUUUUUAAGUCAGAUGUGAAAGACCACAGCUUAACUGUGGGGUUGCAUUUGAAACUGGAGAGCUUGAGUAUCGGAGAGGGUAGUGGAAUUCCUGGAGUAGCGGUGAAAUGCGUAGAUAUCAGGAGGAACACCAGUGGCGAAGGCGACUACCUGGACGAAAACUGACGCUGAGGCACGAAAGCUAGGGGAGCAAAC
Molecule: ribosomal RNA, 403 nt
Filed under: uncultured bacterium
Lineage: Bacteria
Description: bacterial SSU rRNA
Rfam family: Bacterial small subunit ribosomal RNA
Source: RNAcentral